This 84-nucleotide ribosomal RNA is filed under the name Euphorbia alatavica. Its description in RNAcentral is "partial 5.8S ribosomal RNA". It matches the Rfam family "5.8S ribosomal RNA", at positions 73 to 154 of the family's 154-position model. Rfam says of the family: 5.8S ribosomal RNA (5.8S rRNA) is a component of the large subunit of the eukaryotic ribosome. It is transcribed by RNA polymerase I as part of the 45S precursor that also contains 18S and 28S rRNA. Lineage: Eukaryota; Viridiplantae; Streptophyta; Magnoliopsida; Malpighiales; Euphorbiaceae. The record is from RNAcentral.
UGCAGGAUCCCGCGAACCAUCGAGUUUUUGAACGCAAGUUGCGCCCAAAGCCUUUUGGCCGAGGGCACGUCUGCCUGGGUGUCA